RNAcentral lists this ribosomal RNA (492 nucleotides) under uncultured bacterium. RNAcentral's name for it is "partial 16S ribosomal RNA". It matches the Rfam family "Bacterial small subunit ribosomal RNA", at positions 29 to 507 of the family's 1533-position model. The record is from RNAcentral.
AGUGAACGCUGGCGGUAGGCCUAACACAUGCAAGUCGAACGGCAGCACAGUAAGAGCUUGCUCUUACGGGUGGCGAGUGGCGGACGGGUGAGGAAUACAUCGGAAUCUACUUUUUCGUGGGGGAUAACGUAGGGAAACCUACGCUAAUACCGCAUACGACCUACGGGUGAAAGCAGGGGAUCUUCGGACCUUGCGCGAUUGAAUGAGCCGAUGUCGGAUUAGCUAGUUGGCGGGGUAAAGGCCCACCAAGGCGACGAUCCGUAGCUGGUCUGAGAGGAUGAUCAGCCACACUGGAACUGAGACACGGUCCAGACUCCUACGGGAGGCAGCAGUGGGGAAUAUUGGACAAUGGGCGCAAGCCUGGUCCAGCCAUACCGCGUGGGUGAAGAAGGCCUUCGGGUUGUAAAGCCCUUUUGUUGGGAAAGAAAAGCAGCAGGUUAAUACCCCGCUGUUCUGACGGUACCCAAAGAAUAAGCACCGGCUAACUUCGUG